RNAcentral lists this ribosomal RNA (332 nucleotides) under uncultured eukaryote. RNAcentral describes it as "partial 18S ribosomal RNA". It matches the Rfam family "Eukaryotic small subunit ribosomal RNA", at positions 1470 to 1796 of the family's 1831-position model. The record is from RNAcentral.
CCCUUAGAUGUUCUGGGCCGCACGCGCGCUACACUGACGGAGGCAGCGAGCAUGUCCUUCGCCGAGAGGUGUGGGGAAUCUUGUGAGUCUCCGUCGUGCUGGGGAUAGAUGGUUGCAAUUGUCGAUCUUGAACGAGGAAUUCCCAGUAAGCGCAAGUCAUCAGCUUGCGUUGAUUACGUCCCUGCCCUUUGUACACACCGCCCGUCGCUACUACCGAUUGGAUGGCUUAGUGAGACCCUCGGACCGAUAGGCUGUCGCCGCGGCAACGUGGCGACCGGCCCGUCGGGAAGAAGGUCAAACUUGACUGUCUAGAGGAAGUAAAAGUCGUAACA